This 238-nucleotide ribosomal RNA is filed under the name uncultured bacterium. RNAcentral's name for it is "partial 16S ribosomal RNA". It matches the Rfam family "Bacterial small subunit ribosomal RNA", at positions 96 to 334 of the family's 1533-position model. The record is from RNAcentral.
CGGCGGACGGGUGAGUAACGCGUGGGUAACCUGCCUCAUACAGGGGGAUAACAGUUGGAAACGGCUGCUAAUACCGCAUAAGCGCACAGUACCGCAUGGUACGGUGUGAAAAACUCCGGUGGUAUGAGAUGGACCCGCGUCUGAUUAGGUAGUUGGUGGGGUAACGGCCUACCAAGCCGACGAUCAGUGGCCGACCUGAGAGGGUGACCGGCCACAUUGGGACUGAGACACGGCCCAA